This 301-nucleotide ribosomal RNA is filed under the name uncultured bacterium. RNAcentral describes it as "partial 16S ribosomal RNA". It matches the Rfam family "Bacterial small subunit ribosomal RNA", at positions 509 to 807 of the family's 1533-position model. The record is from RNAcentral.
CAGCCGCCGCGGGAAUACGAAGGGUGCAAGCGUUAAUCGGAAUUACUGGGCGUAAAGCGUGCGUAGGCGGUGAGUUAAGUCUGCUGUGAAACCCCCGGGCUCAACCUGGGAAUGGCAGUGGAUACUGGCUCGCUAGAGUGUGUCAGAGGAUGGUGGAAUUCCCGGUGUAGCGGUGAAAUGCGUAGAGAUCGGGAGGAACAUCAGUGGCGAAGGCGGCCAUCUGGGACAACGCUGACGCUGAGGCACGAAAGCGUGGGGAGCAAACAGGAUUAGAGACCCGUGUAGUCCCUGUCUCUUAUAC